ACUCAAAUGAAUAGACGGGGAGGCGCACAAGCAGUGGAGCGUGUUGUUUAAUUCGAAGCAAAGCGAAGAACCUCACCAGGGUUUGACAUGGAUCUGCAAGCGCACGGAAACGUGUGACCUUCGAGGGUGAUCCACAGAUGCUGCAUGGUUGCCGUCAGCUCGUGGCGUGAGCUGUACCGUUAAGUCGGGUAACGAGCGCAACCCCCACCGUAUGUUAAAUAAUUCAUACGGAACUGCCCCCUUUUAGGGGGAGGAAGGAGGGGAUGAUGACAAAUCCGCAUGGCUCUUACACCCUGGGCUACAAACACCCUACAAUGGCGAAUAACAACGAGCUGCAAGCCGGUAACGGUAAGCCAAUCUCUAAAAUUUCGCCUCAGUUCAGAUCGAGGUCUGCAAUUCGACCUCGUGAAGCAGGAAUUGCUAGUAAUCGCGAAUCAGCAGGUCGCGGUGAAUACGUUCUCGCCUCUUGUACACACCGCCCGU
This 483-nucleotide ribosomal RNA is filed under the name uncultured bacterium. RNAcentral describes it as "partial 16S ribosomal RNA". It matches the Rfam family "Bacterial small subunit ribosomal RNA", at positions 899 to 1397 of the family's 1533-position model. The record is from RNAcentral.